AAAUUGAAGAGUUUGAUCAUGGCUCAGAUUGAACGCUGGCGGCAGGCCUAACACAUGCAAGUCGAACGGUAACAGGAAGCAGCUUGCUGCUUCGCUGACGAGUGGCGUACGGUUGAGUAAUGUCUGGGAAAAUGCCUGCGGGCGGGGGAUAUCCACGGGAAACGGUAGCUAAUACCGCAUACCGUCGCAAGA
Molecule: ribosomal RNA, 192 nt
Filed under: Escherichia coli
Lineage: Bacteria; Pseudomonadati; Pseudomonadota; Gammaproteobacteria; Enterobacterales; Enterobacteriaceae
Description: partial 16S ribosomal RNA
Rfam family: Bacterial small subunit ribosomal RNA
Source: RNAcentral